This is a long non-coding RNA of Trichomycterus rosablanca, 315 nucleotides long. RefSeq lists it as uncharacterized. Lineage: Eukaryota; Metazoa; Chordata; Actinopteri; Siluriformes; Trichomycteridae. The transcript is spliced from 3 exons. The record is from RefSeq and is a predicted model, not a curated record.
CUCAGACUCAGGACAGGACAGGAAGGUACAGUAACUGUAUGUCCUGUGUCAGCAGUGUCCAGUCUCUGGAGAUGUGUGUGCUCCCUGAUCUCAGCAGAGAUGGAGGACACCCGCCAGUGGGUAAGGCUGCUACAGGGUCCUGACAGAGGACGACGGGACUGAACUCUCCUGACUCCAUGCUGCUGUUCAUGCUGCACAGAUGAACUAUGGCCUGACAAACAUAAAUCACGUCCACUUCAUACCUAUUGACAGGAACAAAGCGGGACGGAGGCCAAGAGCUGAAUCUCAGUCUGCAGAAACAGCGCCCCCUGUAGG